AUUCGCCGCCUCGGUUUCCUGGAUUUCACCUGCAGUCUGAGUCGGACGUGGAUCGGGGAGUCUGCGCCUCGCCUUGAGGUUCGAGGAAAUACACGUGUUCAAAUGUAAAUCGAUAUUUGAUCGAUGAUAUUCCUAAUUUUGGUCGCUACACUAAAAUAGAGAUGAACAGUGGUGUGAUGGCAAAGAUGGCACGAACAGACGCGCUCGAACCAUGCGUCCCUUCAUUGCGCCAGAUGCGCUACAUGGAACAUCGGCCUACCGAGCCACGCGAACGGAGCAAACUGCGCCAGGUUUUACCGGAAUCAUUAGGGAGAAGGACAACGGCCUUAAACCGGUA
This is a non-coding RNA of Xyrichtys novacula (pearly razorfish), 337 nucleotides long. The record is from the annotation of a GenBank genome assembly. Lineage: Eukaryota; Metazoa; Chordata; Actinopteri; Labriformes; Labridae.